AAAGUCGUAACAAGGUUUCCGUAGGUGAACCUGCGGAAGGAUCAUUAACUAAUGUGAGCGCAAGCUCAUAAAAAUGCCAGUGUUGUUUAUGUUAAAAAGCUCGAAAAAUAGUAUACAACUUUUAACAAUGGAUCUCUUGGCUCUU
This 145-nucleotide unclassified non-coding RNA is filed under the name Basidiomycota sp. RNAcentral describes it as "partial contains small subunit ribosomal RNA, internal transcribed spacer 1, and 5.8S ribosomal RNA". The stretch from base 1 to 47 matches the Rfam family "Eukaryotic small subunit ribosomal RNA", at positions 1785 to 1831 of the family's 1831-position model. The record is from RNAcentral. Lineage: Eukaryota; Fungi; Basidiomycota.